GACGAACGCUGGCGGCGUGCUUAACACAUGCAAGUCGAACGGAAAGGCCCUGCUUUUGUGUGGUGCUCGAGUGGCGAACGGGUGAGUAACACGUGUGUAACCUUCCCUUGACUUUGGGAUAACUUCAGGAAACUGGGGCUAAUACCGGAUAGGAGCUCCUGAUGCAUAGUGGGGGUUGGAAAGUUUCGGCGGUUGGGGAUGGACUCGCGGCUUAUCAGCUUGUUGGUGGGGUAGUGGCUUACCAAGGCUUUGGCGGGUAGCCGGCCUGAGAGGGUGACCGGCCACAUUGGGACUGAGAUACGGCCCAGACUCCUGCGGGAGGCAGCAGUGGGGAAUAUUGCACAAUGGGCGGAAGCCUGAUGCAGCAAGGCAGCGUGCGGGAUGACGGCCUUCGGGUUGUAAACCGCUUUCGCCUGUGACGAAGCGUGAGUGACGGUAAUGGGUAGAGAAGCACCGGCUAACUACGUG
RNAcentral lists this ribosomal RNA (468 nucleotides) under uncultured bacterium. RNAcentral describes it as "partial 16S ribosomal RNA". It matches the Rfam family "Bacterial small subunit ribosomal RNA", at positions 28 to 507 of the family's 1533-position model. The record is from RNAcentral.